UCGGGAAUUUUGGGCAAUGGGCGAAAGCCUGACCCAGCAACGCCGCGUGAAGGAUGAAAUCCCUCGGGAUGUAAACUUCGCAAGAACGGGAAGAAUAAGUUUCAGCAAAUAUCUGAAACGAUGACGGUACCGUUUGUAAGCUCCGGCUAACUCCGUGCCAGCAGCCGCGGUAAUACGGGGGGAGCAAGCGUUGUUCGGAUUUACUGGGCGUAAAGGGCGCGUAGGCGGCCAGCACAAGUCAGUUGUGAAAUCUCCGAGCUUAACUCGGAAAGGUCAACUGAUACUGUGCGGCUAGAGUGCAGAAGGGGCAACUGGAAUUCUUGGUGUAGCGGUGAAAUGCGUAGAUAUCAAGAGGAACACCUGCGGCGAAGGCGGGUUGCUGGGCUGACACUGACGCUGAGGCGCGAAAGCCAGGGGAGCGAACGG
This 426-nucleotide ribosomal RNA is filed under the name uncultured bacterium. RNAcentral's name for it is "bacterial SSU rRNA". It matches the Rfam family "Bacterial small subunit ribosomal RNA", at positions 355 to 775 of the family's 1533-position model. The record is from RNAcentral.